Molecule: ribosomal RNA, 542 nt
Filed under: uncultured bacterium
Lineage: Bacteria
Description: bacterial SSU rRNA
Rfam family: Archaeal small subunit ribosomal RNA
Source: RNAcentral
AAUAGAUACCCCGGUAGUCCUAGCCGUAAACGAUACUCGCUAGGUGUCGGCCACGGUGCGACCGUUGUCGGUGCCGUAGGGAAGCCGUGAAGCGAGCCACCUGGGAAGUACGGCCGCAAGGCUGAAACUUAAAGGAAUUGGCGGGGGAGCACCACAACGGGUGGAGCUUGCGGUUUAAUUGGAUUCAACGCCGGAAAUCUUACCGGGACCGACAGCAAUAUGAAGGCCAGGCUGAAGACUUUGCCGGAUUAGCUGAGAGGUGGUGCAUGGCCGUCGUCAGUUCGUACUGUGAAGCAUCCUGUUAAGUCAGGCAACGAGCGAGACCCACGCCCACAGUUGCCAGCGUACUCUCCGGAGUGACGGGUACACUGUGGGGACCGCCGCUGCUAAAGCGGAGGAAGGAAUGGGCAACGGUAGGUCAGUAUGCCCCGAAUAUCCCGGGCUACACGCGAGCUACAAUGGUUGGUACAAUGGGUAUCUACCCGAAAGGGGAUGGAAAUCUCCUAAAGCCAAUCUUAGUUCGGAUUGAGGGCUGCAACUCG